Long non-coding RNA from Ricinus communis (castor bean), 666 nucleotides. RefSeq lists it as uncharacterized. The record is from RefSeq and is a predicted model, not a curated record. NCBI's taxonomy places the organism in Eukaryota, Viridiplantae, Streptophyta, Magnoliopsida, Malpighiales, Euphorbiaceae. The transcript is spliced from 2 exons.
CUUCUGCUGAAUUCUUUGUAGCCCAUAAUGGAAUUGGAGGUGCACAACUUUGUACAUGCCAUGCCUCAGACAGAUAAGGCCUUUUUACCUCAUCCUUUUGAUCUUGGUCUUGCCUUUUGUUGUCCUGCUGCAAACCAGAGUCUCUUCCCUGCUUUCCAGACGAGGCGGUAAGGAUGGUGCACGAAUCAAAGUACCUGAAACUUUCUUUGAAGAAGAAGAAGAUUUUUGGAUGUAAAUAGGAUUCUCUGCCAAAAGGCCUUGAUCAAAGUUAGGAGAAGGAUCAGAAUAGCACCUCAACAUUCUUGGUUUACUAGUGAGCAGUUCUCCAAAGAACCAACCUUCCUCCAAAAGAUCAUGAACAUUUUCUAGCUUUUCAUCAUCUUUAGUAGAAGAGCAGGAGGCUGGUUCAAAAGGGUCCUCAUCAGAUGGAUCCAUUGUUUUCUUUUGUUUCUGCACAAAAAUCACUCAAAUCUACCUAGUGGAAAAAUAGACCCACAUAUAUGGGAGUUCAAUUAUGGUUUGUUUUCUUUCUUUAUAUGUUCUGUUUUCUGUUUGAUAGCUGCAUAUGGGCUUGACCAUAGGUGGCUCUUGUUGUGGGGCAGGACACCAUGUGCUUUCGGCUCAUACCCAUCUUUAUUUUAUUUGACAAGUAGCAGUUUAUGAGAU